AUUGAACGCUGGCGGCAGGCCUAACACAUGCAAGUCGAGCGGAUGAAGGGUGCUUGCUCCUGGAUUCAGCUGCGGACGGGUGAGUAAUGCCUAGGAAUCUGCCUGGCUGCUGGUUAUAACGUCCGGAAACGGGCGCUAUUACCCCAUACGUCCAGACGGCGAAAGUGUGGGAUCUUCGGACCUUCCGCUAUCAGAUGAGCCUAGGUCGGAUUAGCUAGUUGGUGGGGUAAAGGCCUACCAAGGCGACGAUCCGUAACUGGUCUGAGAGGAUGAUCAGUCACACUGGAACUGAGACACGGUCCAGACUCCUACGGGAGGCAGCAGUGGGGAAUAUUGGACAAUGGGCGAAAGCCUGAUCCAGCCAUGCCGCGUGUGUGAAGAAGGUCUUCGGAUUGUAAAGCACUUUAAGUGGGGAGGAAGGGCAGUAAGUUAAUACCUUGCUGUUUUGACGGUACCAACAGAAUAAGCACCGGCUAACUUCGUG
Molecule: ribosomal RNA, 484 nt
Filed under: uncultured bacterium
Lineage: Bacteria
Description: partial 16S ribosomal RNA
Rfam family: Bacterial small subunit ribosomal RNA
Source: RNAcentral